Molecule: ribosomal RNA, 539 nt
Filed under: Bacillus sp. E30
Lineage: Bacteria; Bacillati; Bacillota; Bacilli; Caryophanales; Bacillaceae
Description: bacterial SSU rRNA
Rfam family: Bacterial small subunit ribosomal RNA
Source: RNAcentral
GCUGGCGGCGUGCCUAAUACAUGCAAGUCGAGCGAACAGAAGGGAGCUUGCUCCCGGAUGUUAGCGGCGGACGGGUGAGUAACACGUGGGUAACCUGCCUGUAAGACUGGGAUAACUCCGGGAAACCGGAGCUAAUACCGGAUAGUUCCUUGAACCGCAUGGUUCAAGGAUGAAAGACGGUUUCGGCUGUCACUUACAGAUGGACCCGCGGCGCAUUAGCUAGUUGGUGGGGUAAUGGCUCACCAAGGCGACGAUGCGUAGCCGACCUGAGAGGGUGAUCGGCCACACUGGGACUGAGACACGGCCCAGACUCCUACGGGAGGCAGCAGUAGGGAAUCUUCCGCAAUGGACGAAAGUCUGACGGAGCAACGCCGCGUGAGUGAUGAAGGUUUUCGGAUCGUAAAGCUCUGUUGUUAGGGAAGAACAAGUGCGAGAGUAACUGCUCGCACCUUGACGGUACCUAACCAGAAAGCCACGGCUAACUACGUGCCAGCAGCCGCGGUAAUACGUAGGUGGCAAGCGUUGUCCGGAAUUAUUGG